CAAAAAAACAAUCUCAGUUCAGACUGCAGGCUGCAACUCGCCUGCACGAAGUCGGAAUUGCUAGUAAUCGUAGGUCAGCAUACUACGGUGAAUACGUUCCCGGGCCUUGUACACACCGCCCGUCAAACCAUGAGAGUUGGCAACACCCGAAGUCGGUAGUCUAACCGCAAGGAGGACGCCGCCGAAGGUGGGGUUGAUGAUUAGGGUUAAGUCGUAACAAGGUAGC
This 226-nucleotide ribosomal RNA is filed under the name uncultured bacterium. RNAcentral describes it as "partial 16S ribosomal RNA". It matches the Rfam family "Bacterial small subunit ribosomal RNA", at positions 1275 to 1500 of the family's 1533-position model. The record is from RNAcentral.